AGGGAAUUGCUCAGCUUGACAAAUGGGGCCUUCGGCUCUGAGUUGUAACGUUGAAAUGUUUAGCCAAUGGAGGCGCAGGUGCAAGCCUAUUGAAAGAAAGUGCCAAUGAGGGUGACAUUCCUUUUUGUCAUUUGCAGUCCUCUGUGCACGGUAUAUAUUUGACGAGUCACACUCCUUGGCAUUGGAAUGCAAAGUGGGUGGUAAAUUCCAUGUAAAGAUAAAUAUAUUAUUGGGACUGAUAGCAAACAAGUACCAUGAGGGAAAUAUGAAAAGGACUUUGAAAAGAGAAUUAAAAGAGUCUGCAUUUGCUGAACAAAAAGCAAACAGAAUUGAUUUGCUUGGUAAGAUUGUUGCGCUUUAGUUUUGCAUCUGGAUGCUGAAUGUGGGCGUGGUGGUUCUUAGCUUGAAUGUCAGCUUGUAGUUCUGCAAAUCAAUACUCUGUCGCAUGAAUGGUAAUUUCCUGUGGGUAUUGGAAUGCAUGUGUUUAUAUGAUUUGUGAUUUGAUAAAUGUGUCUGGUGGAAUUUGUGUGUGCCCUUUUGCAAUGGGAAACAUUUCUUUUUUGAGCACCAGAAUCCUUACACAUUAAUGCUGGCCAAAUGCUUCUGCUUGACCCGUCUUGAAACACGGACCAAGGAGUCUAACAGAUGUGCAUGUUCGUGGGUGGCAAACCUGCUUGCAAAAUGAAAGUGUUGGCUGGGAUACUUGCACCAGCAGCCGUCCGAUUAGCAGACAGAGGUUUGAGUUUGAGCAUAUCUAUUAGGACCCGAAAGAUGGUGAACUAUGCCUGAACAGAAUGAAUUCAGAGGAUACUCUGAUGGAGGUUCGUAUCGAUACUGACGUGCAA
Molecule: ribosomal RNA, 845 nt
Filed under: Alexandrium fragae
Lineage: Eukaryota; Dinophyceae; Gonyaulacales; Pyrocystaceae
Description: Alexandrium sp. SB-2017a partial large subunit ribosomal RNA
Rfam family: Eukaryotic large subunit ribosomal RNA
Source: RNAcentral